GUACCUACCUGUCAGGGGAGAUAACAUGAUCAAGAAGGUGUUCCCCCCUCCACCCCCAGGGUGAGACUUAUCUGUUGCACUUGAGAUGUGCUGACUCCUGUAAUUUCCCCUAGUGCGGAAAUUCAUCUGCAUAAUUUGUGGUAGUGGGGAACUACAUUUACACUCUUCCCUG
Molecule: small nuclear RNA, 172 nt
Organism: Peromyscus californicus insignis
Lineage: Eukaryota; Metazoa; Chordata; Mammalia; Rodentia; Cricetidae
Product: U1 spliceosomal RNA
Exons: 1
Source: RefSeq, a predicted model, not a curated record